This is a long non-coding RNA of Neopelma chrysocephalum (saffron-crested tyrant-manakin), 598 nucleotides long. RefSeq lists it as uncharacterized. The record is from RefSeq and is a predicted model, not a curated record. Lineage: Eukaryota; Metazoa; Chordata; Aves; Passeriformes; Pipridae. The transcript has 3 exons.
GAACUUACCCACUCUCCCAGCAAGGGGACUCUGUCCCCAUGUCCUAGGCUCUCACCCCAGUGUGAACUCAGCAGAUGGCACCCUGCCACAGGAUGUGUUGCUGGGCAUGGCAGUGCUGGGCCAUCAGGCAGCCAGACUCCAGCCAACCUCCCCGCUGCCAUGACAGGUAGCAUUGCUACAUAUGCACAUCUCCUUUUGGAAUAAAACAUGCUGGGUAUGUGGAUGAUGCUAUGAACUUCAUAUAAGGCAUGCAUAGAGAAGACCUAACUUCCUGAUUUAGAGAUAAUUUAUUUAGUCAAAGAAGACACAUAACAAAGUUACUGAGCUCAAGACUCCAGCCAGUGAGAACAAUAAUUAAACCAGUUAACAGUCCUUUGGAUUCCUUCUACACAUUGAUUUUCAACUUGUGCAUCAAAGACCUGCACUUGAUAUAUUUCCAAGACUUAGAAAAAUUCUGCUUACAGAGCCAAGUAGUAAGAUUUUCCUGACACUUAGGGUUGUCUCAAUUAAUUUUGUUCAUUCUUUGCUAUUUUCCAUGGCUGAAAUGAAGAUAGGAGAAGCAAGCACCUAAAGUUGAACAUACCAAAUAUAAUUUUAA